RNAcentral lists this transfer RNA (74 nucleotides) under Hamiltosporidium magnivora. Its description in RNAcentral is "Neoflabelliforma magnivora tRNA". It matches the Rfam family "tRNA". From Rfam's summary of the family: Transfer RNA (tRNA) molecules are approximately 80 nucleotides in length. The record is from Rfam by way of RNAcentral. Lineage: Eukaryota; Fungi; Microsporidia; Dubosqiidae. RNAcentral also lists the same sequence under 1 other name.
GCCUCACUAGCUCAGUCGGUUAGAGCAUCCGGCUUUUAACCGGGGGGCCGAGGGUUCGAGUCCCUCGUGGGGUA